UUGAGCUUCACACUUCCGUAUAGUCCUGGCGGGCCCCCGCGGAGGAGCUGAGGGGGCGAGGGGCUCUUUUACCCCUGCUGGGGGGCAGAAAAUACAGGGGUGAUGAAUGCUAGAGCGGCGCUUGUUGGUUGAGACGGCAUGGGGCGAUGGACCAUCUGUUUCAGGGAUCUGAUCCAGAGGAGAAACAGAGGAAGUCAGAGGGGAGCUGGCUUCAUACAUCUUAGUGAAACAGAAACCACACGCCGGCUGAUGGACAGGUAGAUGUGGGCUGGCGGUCGUGUAUGAGUUGCCCUGUCGCAGAUGCCAUUACAGCUGCCUGGGUGGUACAUCUACACAAUAAACCCACUAUUAUAAUGCCAAUCCAGAGGACCAGGAAAAGCAGACACUUAGAGUCUGGUACUGGCGUAAUGCCUUGUUCUGGGGCACACUUGUGAGGCUUUAUAAGAAAGAUUCGGUUUUACAUGUUAUUCUUAAUUUCCAGUGAUUUACACAACUUUUUACUGCAGGCACAAUCACUCAUUUAGGGGUUUGAACCUAUAACCUUUUGGUUUACCAGUCUAAACACUAAGCCACAACCCUUGUGUAAGCAAAACUUGCAACAUAAAGUCGGGUUCAAUUUGUAGCUUAAUCUGGCCAAGAUGUGAAGAAACCAACGUUUUUGUUUUGUUUUUGUGUGUUGUUUAGAGGCGGGUUUA
Long non-coding RNA from Carassius auratus (goldfish), 695 nucleotides. RefSeq lists it as uncharacterized. Lineage: Eukaryota; Metazoa; Chordata; Actinopteri; Cypriniformes; Cyprinidae. The transcript is spliced from 3 exons. The record is from RefSeq and is a predicted model, not a curated record.